Molecule: unclassified non-coding RNA, 208 nt
Filed under: Hevea brasiliensis (rubber tree)
Lineage: Eukaryota; Viridiplantae; Streptophyta; Magnoliopsida; Malpighiales; Euphorbiaceae
Source: RNAcentral
AAUUUGGAUGUUAGGUUUUGAUUAGUGAUUGUAAGUGUAUUAAAGAUUAAGUAUUAGAGUUUUGGAAAAAUAUUAUUUAUUUUAAGAAGAAGGAGAAUUACGUAAAUAAGGAUUUUGUUUUUUUGCGAGUAGUUAAUGCGUAUUUUUUGUUAUUUGGUUAAAUUAAUAGUUGGGAAUGAGUGGGAAUUUUUUGGUUUUUUAGUGGUUA